This 1292-nucleotide long non-coding RNA is filed under the name Homo sapiens (human). Its description in RNAcentral is "HSALNT0326553". Lineage: Eukaryota; Metazoa; Chordata; Mammalia; Primates; Hominidae. The record is from RNAcentral.
ACUGAGCAAGAUGGCCACCUCCUGGUGGUAAGUCUCGCUCCUGGAGUUCCCAUCUUGACCCUACAGCGGGACAUUUUGCCGCCACCUCUUUGUGUGUUGGGAAGAUGACGUCCUUUCUGCUCGUCCUGCUUCUCUGAUUGAUCUGUGUCUCUGGAGAUCCCUUUGCUCAGCCAUCAGAUCAAGCAGGCAUCCAUGGUUCAGAAUGGUGAUGACCUGGGCAAGAGCUCACCAGUAAGGAGCAAAGGGGCCCGCCUGCCACUCUUAAGCAGAGCGCCUGCUGAAUCAGGAUUUCCAAGGCUCCGGCUGAGUGCCUGGCUGGGGGCUGUGUGUGCAGAUGCCACAAGAUGGACAAGACUGAGGACGCAGAUGAGGAAACUGAAGCAACUGUUCAAGAAGAGGAUAUAAAAAGGGACAGGCAUUGAUGAUGAUAUCAGAGCUUCUUCCUGGGGAAUCUCAGCCUCACAUGAUGGAGUAUGACUAAAGGAAAAAAAUAAGGCUCUUCACAUACUUUCUUGGCAGUCUGUGAGGGUCAGGGUUGAUUUUGUGUCCCUAAAAUGUCACAUGAAGUUCAUAGGCACUUCCAAAGGGGCAGUCUAGCAAGUUAAAGAGUAGAUGUGGGGCUGUGUGGAGUCCAUUGUUUGGGUAAUCUUUUUCAAACAGUAGGAAUAUACCAGCUUGUAAAGAUUUGCCCACUUAGCUUCAAGUCUCUCUGAACACAUUUCCCCCCGCUCUAUGAAUAGAUGAAGACAUACAAAUGGAACUCUUGAUAUUCUUAAGUGAAAAACAUGAUAUGGAAUAGCAGAUAAAUACAAACAAUUUCUUAUCCAGCAAAGAGCUCCAGAAAUAUUUUGACUUCAUUUAAAACAGUUAUAUAAAUAUUUGCUGGUGGAAUUUUUUUCUAAACCAAAUACCCUGAAGGAUUUUAGUUGUCUAUCUACAACUUUUUGCUUGUGGAAAAUGUUGACUUCCUGGUUACUUUGACUUGUGUUCACCUGAAAUUUUGCUUUUGCAGUAGUUUUUCUUAUGAUUUAGUGGCAUUGCCUGUCCAGUGACAGGAAGUGGUGUUCUUAUUGGGACUAAUAUGUGUUAUGGCCCUAGAACCAGCAGAAGCCACUCCUGCUUUUUUCCACACUCUUCUUUCUAUAGAAGAGAAGGGAAUGAGGAUCCCACAUGGCAUUCACUGCCUUGAGCAUACUGAGAUUUCUUUGCAAAAGGAGAAACAGCACCAGCAACUAAGCAUUUUAUCCCAUUUUAUUUUACUUCUUCUAUGAUUCUUUGCCACUUAGCAAUGC